RNAcentral lists this transfer RNA (73 nucleotides) under Oregonia gracilis. RNAcentral's name for it is "tRNA-Val". It matches the Rfam family "tRNA". From Rfam's summary of the family: Transfer RNA (tRNA) molecules are approximately 80 nucleotides in length. Their secondary structure includes four short double-helical elements and three loops (D, anti-codon, and T loops). Lineage: Eukaryota; Metazoa; Arthropoda; Malacostraca; Decapoda; Oregoniidae. The record is from RNAcentral.
CAAAAUAAAGCUAAAUUAGUAUAGCAUUUCAUUUACGUUGAGGAGAAUUAUCGUGCAAAUCGGUUUAUUUUGA